GCGGCGGGAGCGGAGCGGGAUUCCUCAACCACGGGUGGUUGCCGUGAUAGGAAGCCAAGGGGGAAAACUUGUUCUACCCAAGUACCGGUCUGCUCCAUCCACAGAAAAAAAAUGUGUUGCUGCUGGAGCGAGUCCAGAGAAGGCAAAGGAGAGGGUCCAAGAAUCGGAGCUCCUCUGCUCUGGAGACAGGCUGAGAGGUUGUUCAGCCUAGAGACAGCAAGGCUCCAGGGAAACCUUAGAGCCCCCUCCAGUGCCGGCGAGGGACUUGGACAAGCGCAUGGAGUGACAGAACAAGAAUGCCUUUAAAUUUAAAGAGAGAACAUUUAUAUUAGAUAUUAGGAAGAAGUUCUUUCCUGUGGCAGUGAUGAGGCCCUGACACACAUUAUCCAGAGAAGCUGUGGCUGCCCCAUCCUUGGAAGUGUCCCAGACUCACCAGGUUGGAUGGGGCUUGGAGCAACCUGGUCUAGUGGAAGGUGUCUGCCUAUGGCAGGGGGUUGGAAGUAGAUGGCAUCUGAGGCCCUUCUAACCCCAGCCAUUCUGCAAUUGUCCUUGUUCUAAGGCUGAAAGAAUCAGAGAUGCCCAUAGUGGUAGUUCUUAGGAAGCAGAUGCUAUCCACCCAUGGUCUCCAUCUGAGCUGUUACAUAAAACAACCCAUCCCAACAUUAGGAAAAACACCACUGGACCCAGAUCUAACUAUGUGCCUUGGCAAUCCAUUCACAUCAUGACUCCUCCACUGUUGUGGUUGCUACCAAUCCAAUUUGGGAGGUCACAGAAAAUUCAGGAUUUUAGCAGAAAUCCAAGGUAAAAACAGCACACUGCCCUUCAGCAGCCAGCACAGAGCUGAGGGGCAACAGGAGCUGUUCAGAGGCAAUGGCAAUGCAUUCCUUACAAAGACUGCUGACCAAGUGUUUUCCGUGGGAAUUCUGAAGAGUCCCUGCAAUGUGCACUGCCCACAAGAUAAUGUGUUCAUUUCAGGUGAAGCUUUAAUUCCCUUUUAUCAAAUGGCUAAGAUAUUUUUUUAAAGAAAGUAACAUAAAGGAUGUGUUUCAAGUAGGGGGGUGAAGCAGGAUGAUUAACAAAAGAUAUUUUAUUAAAGCUGUGAAUCAUAAGCCACCUUAUCACUGCAAGCAGUUUUGCUCCCAACUUUAACUUUUUAACAUCAACAGCUUUUUUGACAACACACAUUUGGUGACCAGGACUUCCUGAAAAGAUUCCAGCAGUCCUAAGAAAGCAAGAACCUUUGGUUUCUUCAAUUCUGGAAAACAAUUCCUUUUCCUCCUCCAGUCAGCAUCACAUCUGAGUGUUUCUGUUGGAGCAUCAUGGAGUUCAGCUUGUUACAUGAGAUCUGCACUUUCCAAUCAACACACUUGGUUCUUCCUCACGAUUGUGAUAAAACAACUUAAAGCCUUAUUUGCUGUUUACCUUGAUUAUGGUAACAAACUACAAUAUUUUGUCAUGAUACCUGACUUUCCUGCAGUGGUUGGGUUUUUUUUUUAAGUCAGAAACAAGUUAUUUGCUCCACCCAGCA
Long non-coding RNA from Cyanistes caeruleus (blue tit), 1528 nucleotides. RefSeq lists it as uncharacterized. The record is from RefSeq and is a predicted model, not a curated record. NCBI's taxonomy places the organism in Eukaryota, Metazoa, Chordata, Aves, Passeriformes, Paridae.